This is a non-coding RNA of Cyanothece sp., 37 nucleotides long. The record is from Rfam. NCBI's taxonomy places the organism in Bacteria, Bacillati, Cyanobacteriota, Cyanophyceae, Gomontiellales, Cyanothecaceae.
GUUAAAAUAAGCAAUAAUCCCUAUGAGGGAUUGAAAC